Molecule: ribosomal RNA, 406 nt
Filed under: uncultured bacterium
Lineage: Bacteria
Description: partial 16S ribosomal RNA
Rfam family: Bacterial small subunit ribosomal RNA
Source: RNAcentral
AUCGAACGCUGGCGGCAGGCCUAAUACAUGCAAGUCGAACGAGUGGCGGACGGGUGAGUAAUGUCUGGGAAACUGCCUGAUGGAGGGGGAUAACUACUGGAAACGGUAGCUAAUACCGCAUACCAUCGGAUGUGCCCUGAUGGGAUGAGCUAGUAGGUGGGGUAACGGCUCACCUAGGCGACGAUCCCUAGCUGGUCUGAGAGGAGGACCAGCAACACUGGAACUGAGACACGGUCCAGACUCCUACUGGAGGCAGAAGUGGGGAAUAUUGGACAAUGGGCGCAAGCCUGAUGCAGCAAUGCCGCGUGUAUGAAGAAGGCUUUCGGGUUGUAAAGUACUUUGAGCGGGGAGGCGUUACCCGCAGAAGAAGCGCCGGCUAACUCCGUGCCAGCAGCCGCGGUAAUAC